This is a long non-coding RNA of Astatotilapia calliptera (eastern happy), 1010 nucleotides long. The record is from Ensembl. Lineage: Eukaryota; Metazoa; Chordata; Actinopteri; Cichliformes; Cichlidae.
UGUGCGUUCGUGCACAAACACAUGCAGCAUAUACGCAUGUUUGUGUGUUCAUUAGCAUGAGGCCAUUACUUUGUGCAUCUCUGUGCGUACGUCUCUCAGCUGACUAGACACACUCACCGUCCUACUGUACACCAUUAAAAUCAAAGGGAAACUUUGAAAGCAGAAAUUUAACUGUAGCUCAUCAUUACCAAGCUCACAUUGUGGCAGAAAGAUCAAAGGAAGUCCCUUUGGCACAGAUAACUACAGUGCAUCUCUUAAAACCAAUAAAAUAUAGUCAAACCUGGAAAAGGAUUUGCCGAGCGAAUCGAACGGGUCAGCAUCUCACAGCAGUGAAUGUUAAAUAUGAAGCUAUACAUGAAAGUGUGCAAAAAGCAGGCUGUAAGAAAAACAACAUCAGCAAAAAUCAGAGCAUGAAGUAUGACAAGUUAACAAUAACUACCUUAAACUUAAAAAAACACUAUAAAAAAAGUUUAACAUAAUAAGGAAAAAAAAUUCUGAGAAUGACCUUCGGUAGUCAGCACAGUCUCUAGACCCACUUACAUGAAGGCUGCCUGCAAAGCAACUAUAGCAAUCUGGCAGAUUACACAGCACAGAAGAAGAGGGACACAAAAGCUUUGUGACUCAGUUGUUGCCUGGAAAGUCUUAGUGUCAGGUCAUCCACUGCGACAUUUUUACACUCAAAAAUAACCACUCAAAACUUGCUACAAGCUAGAUUCACCCAUUCAUACGUAUACAUUUCAAUGGAAGCCUUGGGAGCAACUUGGGGUUCAACUUGGGCACAUUCUUCUUGAUAGACACUUUGCUCUGAUCCAAUUGUCCAAAGCGGAUGGAUCAGAGGAUAAAUGGUGCCUGGCAGAAAGUUUAUUUUGUAUUUCUCAUGUACAGUACUUACCAAAUGUAUUAGACCACCUGUCAUAAAGACAAAAAACAAAUGUUAUAUUCUUAUUUAUUUAGUAGAUAACAGAUCUGACACUGUAUUUCUCAGAAAUUAAUCAAGCAUAAAAUUCUAC